CAGCCCGCUCCUUGUUCUCUGCUCCUCUCUCACUGCCUGUCUCACAGUGCGCAGCCCGACUGGCCCACAAACCCCAACUGAGCCCAUGAAGCAGCAAGAUGGGUUGUUUGCCCUCAGUCACACGCCAUCAAGUCUGGGCAUGGUCACCGUGUAAUUUCAUGAGAUGACUGAAAUCAUAAAACGAUUUUAACUUUAUUUCAUUUUCUUUCAUUUAUUCAUUUAGCUUGAUCAUCUACACAAUCUAAAAGUAUUUGGGGUCAGGAGAGCUGAGAGGACGAUUAAUUCAACAACCAUCAAGGCAUAUGACAGCCCUCAAGGCAGCUCGGAGCCGCUCCUCUCACCAGCUGCUUCUGGACGCGUCUGCCAAGUUGCCAGACAUUGUGGAAAGAGCAGUUGCUUCCCAUAUGACAUCUGUGAUAUCAGGCCACAUGAAGAUCUCAACAUCUAUUCUCUGUGCUUAGUAUUCUGCUGGCUACCUGAAAGAAGGUGAGCUGCUGGCUACCUGAAAGAAGCAGCAAACUAGACCCCUAAGGCAUGGCUGUCUUCAACUCCAGUGCUUCAGGCACAUGUGUUUGCCGGAUGCCUCUGCGCCCAGAAGCACUUCACCUACCAGGAGCCAGGGUCAAAGAGGUUUGGAUCCCUGACCUCAUGGAAGACAGUUCCCACUGGUCAUCCAUAGACCUGAGGAUGGUCGUCUCUUCUCCAGCUUUGCUCUUCAGAGGCGGGGAUAAUGUCUUAUUCAUCUUUGUAUCCUGACAGCCCUUUGCACAAUAUCUGGCAUCUAGUAGGUGAGUGACCCAUAAAACGAUCUUACUGUGGAGAAGAGAUGCUGCAUUCCAGGAAGGCUACCUCUGGAAGUGCAGGUGGCCCCUGAUUGACCGGCUGGUACUUUAUCUCUCUGAUAAGGUCUCUUCUUGCUCUUUAGCCUGAACUCAGCCUCUGCUAUCAGAGGUUUAUGAGUUACUGUAAAAUCACUGGGGAAUCUUGGAGAGCUG
This 995-nucleotide long non-coding RNA is filed under the name Vulpes vulpes (red fox). RNAcentral's name for it is "lncRNA (ENSVVUG00000013911.1)". The record is from RNAcentral. Lineage: Eukaryota; Metazoa; Chordata; Mammalia; Carnivora; Canidae.